RNAcentral lists this ribosomal RNA (498 nucleotides) under uncultured bacterium. RNAcentral describes it as "partial 16S ribosomal RNA". It matches the Rfam family "Bacterial small subunit ribosomal RNA", at positions 28 to 508 of the family's 1533-position model. The record is from RNAcentral.
GAUGAACGCUGGCGGCGUGCCUAAUACAUGCAAGUCGAGCGAACGGACGAGAAGCUUGCUUCUCUGAUGUUAGCGGCGGGCGGGUGAGUAACACGUGGAUAACCUACCUAUAAGACUGGGAUAACUUCGGGAAACCGUAGCUAAUACCGGAUAAUAUUUUGAACCGCAUGGUUCAAAAGUGAAAGACGGUCUUGCUGUCACUUAUAGAUGGAUCCGCGCUGCAUUAGCUAGUUGGUAAGGUAACGGCUUACCAAGGCAACGAUGCAUAGCCGACCUGAGAGGGUGAUCGGCCACCCUGGAACUGAGACACGGUACAGACUGCUACGGGAGGCAGCAGUAGGGAAUCUUCCGCAAUGGGCGAAAGCCUGACGGAGCAACGCCGCGUGAGUGAUGAAGGUCGUCGGAUCGUGAAACUCUGUUAUUAGGGAAGAACAUAUGUGUAAGUAACUGUGCACAUCUUUACGGUACCUAAUCAGAAAGCCACGGCUAACUUCGUGC